GACGAACGCUGGCGGCGUGCUUAACACAUGCAAGUCGAACGGAAAGGCCCUGCUUUUGUGGGGUGCUCGAGUGGCGAACGGGUGAGUAACACGUGAGUAACCUGCCCUUGACUUUGGGAUAACUUCAGGAAACUGGGGCUAAUACCGGAUAGGAGCUCCUGCUGCAUGGUGGGGGUUGGAAAGUUUCGGCGGUUGGGGAUGGACUCGCGGCUUAUCGGCUUGUUGGUGGGGUAGUGGCUUACCAAGGCUUUGACGGGUAGCCGGCCUGAGAGGGUGACCGGCCACAUUGGGACUGAGAGACGGCCCAGACGCCUACGGGAGGCAGCAGUGGGGAAUAUUGCACAAUGGGCGGAAGCCUGAUGCAGCAACGCCGCGUGCGGGAUGACGGCCUUCGGGUUGUAAACCGCUUUCGCCUGUGACGAAGCGUGAGUGACGGUAAUGGGGAAAGAAGCACCGGCUAACUACGU
Molecule: ribosomal RNA, 467 nt
Filed under: uncultured bacterium
Lineage: Bacteria
Description: partial 16S ribosomal RNA
Rfam family: Bacterial small subunit ribosomal RNA
Source: RNAcentral